GGAGAGAUGUCUGAGUGGUUGAAGGAGACGGUCUCGAAAACCGUUAUAGCGGGUAACUGCUAUCCAGGGUUCGAAUCCCUGUCUCUCCG
This 89-nucleotide transfer RNA is filed under the name Candidatus Omnitrophota bacterium. RNAcentral's name for it is "Candidatus Omnitrophica bacterium (sediment metagenome) tRNA-Ser". It matches the Rfam family "tRNA". From Rfam's summary of the family: Transfer RNA (tRNA) molecules are approximately 80 nucleotides in length. Their secondary structure includes four short double-helical elements and three loops (D, anti-codon, and T loops). The record is from RNAcentral. Lineage: Bacteria; Pseudomonadati; Candidatus Omnitrophota.